CCUGAUCAUGGCAGCCAUGGACAAGGAUCCCACAGUUGAAACACGACGGGACUGUGUCCUUAAAGCGCUCUGCGUCUACUUGAAUGAAAGUUCCGAGAGCUUCAUAAAGGAAUAUUUGGAUGUUGAACUUGCAACAACCCAAAUGGAGCCAAUGGUAUUGAGACUCUAUCUCGUGAAACACGAAGGAGCAGAACCCGGGGAACCACUUGCGGAUGUUGGAUGAUGGACCAUCAUCGAGGGUGUUGGAGUGCUGCGAGAGCUGAAAUACUUGGCAAAUGGAUGGGCAGUAUUGCUUGGACUGAUUUACAGCCUCAAUCUGAGCUACCCCAAGGACCUGAAACAUACAUUUGAAUUCAUUCAAAAAGUAUUGAUGGGGUUGGAUGGCAACAGACUGUCAACCAAGGUGCAGGUUCUGAAAAACAGAUUACAAGAGUAAUCCCAAGGACAAAAUACUGUGACAGAGAUAACGUCCAGUUCAUUUCCAUCUCGGUACAUUCUCUCACACACACAC
Trematomus bernacchii (emerald rockcod) is the source of this 511-nucleotide long non-coding RNA. RefSeq lists it as uncharacterized. The transcript is spliced from 3 exons. NCBI's taxonomy places the organism in Eukaryota, Metazoa, Chordata, Actinopteri, Perciformes, Nototheniidae. The record is from RefSeq and is a predicted model, not a curated record.